Molecule: ribosomal RNA, 208 nt
Filed under: uncultured bacterium
Lineage: Bacteria
Description: partial 16S ribosomal RNA
Rfam family: Bacterial small subunit ribosomal RNA
Source: RNAcentral
UAACGCGUCGGUACAUGCCUCGAAGUGGGGAAUAACUGCCCGAAAGGGUGGCUAAUACCGCAUGUGAUCGCAAGAUCAAAGCAGCAAUGCGCUUCGAGAGUGGCCUGCGUCUGAUUAGCUAGUUGGCGGGGUAAAUGCCCACCAAGGCGACGAUCAGUAGCUGGUUCGAGAGGAUGACCAGCCACACUGGGACUGAGAUACGGCCCAG